ACAAGUCAAUCGGAAGUGACAAGCGCAUGAAAGCAACACGUACGCACAACAAUUUCAGCCAACCAACCACAUCCCUACAGAGUACAUACUCUCUACACAGGCGCGCGCACACACACACAGAGAGAGAGAGAGAGAUCACUGACUCCUCCUCCUCCUCUCUUCUUUCUUCUUCUUCUUCUUUUCGCCUCCCAUCAUGCCGUGCAGUGUUUAAACAUGUGGGCUAUGGUUCUCUUUUUACAUGCUUGGAGCCAUUAUGAGUAUCAGCCGUUCAUAUUGGCGUAUAUGUUAGUUGAGAGAGUCAUGCGAAUUCACUGUUAGAUUUGUUCAGAUACAGAUAAAAGAGAGGACAUUUGGUACCUUUUACCGACACCUGCACGUCUUGCAUGAGAGAGAGAGAGAGAGGAUUCUUGACUUUGUGGUGGCUACAGCCUUUCUUGGUCCCAAUAUAACCCUAAAUCGUCAUUAAAGCCUUUCAUUCCUGGAGCAUGAGGAGUGGGAAUCAUAGAUUUAUGGUAACUUUCCUUAAAUGGGUCUCACUGUGUUAUCAGAUUUCUGGGUAGCUUUGUCUUUAUAUUAUUUACUUCCCUACUCAUCAUCUCCUCUCAUCUUUGCACUCUUCUCUACUUUGAUACUCAUCUCCUCUCCUCUCAUCUUCUGGGACAUAGAACUUGACAGAAGAGAGUGAGCACACAGAGGCAUUUGUAUAAAUCUAUACCCUUUCUUUUGCGUGCUCACUUCUCUUUCUGUCAGCUUCCGGCGCCGGAAUUUGAUCUCUCUCUGGUGAUUAAAAUUCCCGGCCUGUUUCUGUUCCAUGUUGAUACAUAUAUAUCCUCUCUUAUUUUCUCUUUUUUCCUCCCCUUAUCUGCUUUCAAAGACCUCUUUCAUUCGAAGAGGAAGAAGAUUUGAUAUGAUGGUUGAGCAAACAGAGAAAAAGAUGAGCCAAUACCAUUGAUUAAUACCAAAAGGAGAUAUGUCUUUGUCUUUGUUUCAGUUUUUAAGUUUAUGCAUUACAGUAUAUAUUUAAUUUUGAAAACUGGGGCUUUUGUUGGUGUAUAGUACCCGUGAUUACUGUGCAGAUUUAGCGGCAAAACACUGUUGAUAGCAUGGGGAGGGGUUGAUCUACGUUAUCUAAGUCUUAUAGCAUGGUCCUUACUUGCAAAACCCUCUUUUUUCAUUUUUAAUCUGGCUCCAUGCUCUUAUAAUUUUCUUUUUCAUUCGUGCUCAUGGUUUUAUGUAUCAAGUUCGAGGUUUGCUUCUGAUUGGAGAGUCUAUUCACCUGAAUCUAGUAGCUUCAAAACUUUCAGAAGAAAAAAAAAAGGUUUUCCCUUUUAUGGGUUCAAAAACCCUAUUCUAGGAUAGGGUUGCUUGUGUUGAAAGUGCACAAGUUAUAUCUUGUGGCUUCUUUUUGCUCUGAUUUUCGACAUUAUCUGGUCACUUUCACAGUACUCAAGUGGGUUCUGACAAAGGUUUUUAUUUCUUUUAUUGAUGUUCUGAAUUGUUUGUUUCAAAGUAGUUGUUUCUCUUUUAUGUAUAUUUGUGUGGAUGAUUGAGCAGAUGUGAUGUUUUUGGGUACAUAUCGGGGGGGGGGGGGGGGGUGAGGGACUCAUUAGAUUAGGUACAAUGACGAUGCUUCUUUCUACAUAUGGGAAGUUUUCUGCAACUUUUUUUUUUCUCUCUUUGCUCGUAUGUUCUGAGUUUUUGCAGAUAGAUGGGUAAUCAAUCAAGGAAUCGUCAACUCACUUGUCAUAUGCGAAAAAUCCCCUAGAAGAAGUCUAAUCGAGAAGAUGUUGAAUAUCUGAGCGGGCAGUUCAAAUUUAGAAAGCAAAUGUUUGUGUCCAUGGACAAGGUGUUUCCAGUCUUCAAUCCGAAGUGAGGUUUUGAUGUCACCAUCUCGAGCAACAGUUUUAAGUCCAACACACUAGACAGACAAUUUUAUAUAGCAGCAGUGAGUGUCUACUCGAACAGGAGCCAUUUCCAAUCACACAAAUAACAAGUGAAGCAGAAAUUCAAGGCAAUUAUUUCAGAUAUGAAACCUCCUCUCUCUCUCUUUUUUUUCCCCAUUUUCUUUGUGCCCAAGAGGAUAAAUCAUCAGAGAUGCAUCCUUUGCUAAGCAUAAACUGCACUGAUAUUCAUAACCAGGGGGUGAAAGGCGUAGAACUAGUGAAGCCUAGUUGUAAAUGCAUGAUCACGAUUCCUAUGGUUAAUUCGAAAAGUUGUUUAGGGUUCAUAUGGCACCAAAAAAUGAUUCUCUUCUAUCAACAAAAUUUCAACAUCAAACACAAAGUGUGAGUCUUAUACACACGACAGUAGCAGCAUAAACCACACAGAGCAUCAAUUUGAUUACCUUUGGUGCUGCAAUAGAUUUCUGACGCACUAUAUAUUUGUGCAGAAGCCAUAGAGUAGUGCUUCGACUGAGCUUCAAAGAUCCUACACAGGGACAAAGCAGGGAAAAUAUGAAAAGAAAAUUCGUCCACACCUGACCCCGUGCUUAUUGAAUCGGAAUCUACCAAAUCUGUAGGCUGGAGAGGUGAUGAAAAAAUUUUCCAAUCGGGUUGAGAAAGAGGAGAAUGGACAAAACUGGCGAUGGCGGGAAAUAGACAAAUAAAUACCAAACUCUUUCUUCUCAGUUAUCAUAUGGGCGCUAUCCGUGUGCUUAAAAAAAAAAAAAAAUACGGCAACAGUUACCUACUUGUGUAGAAAGCAACUUAUUCUCUACUUUUAUUUAUUAUUAUCUUUAUUAAAAUUGGAUUAGUUUGUGAAGUUUGAUUGCUCACUGUCGCAGAGACUUGUAAAUACUUUUUGAGAGUAGAGUGGGCUUGGUGCUCCAUGUGCGAAACGUGGCUCCACUCAGGUUGUUGUCCAGUCUAAUCGCUAUCCAAUAGCAUAUAGUUGCCAUUUGCCGAUAGGUUGAAGAAAUAAAAAAACACUGUUCUUGGAUAGCGAGCUGGAGUAUCCUGUUCUUCGCUAUCUUGCUAUGAAAACACUGUUCUUCGCUGAUUCCAUUGAA
Molecule: long non-coding RNA, 3007 nt
Organism: Manihot esculenta (cassava)
Lineage: Eukaryota; Viridiplantae; Streptophyta; Magnoliopsida; Malpighiales; Euphorbiaceae
Exons: 3
Source: RefSeq, a predicted model, not a curated record